AUGAGGACCAGCGGCUGCAGCAGGGAAAUUCAUCUCAGCACCAGAUCCCUCGUCCCUCCUGCUGGUCUCAGGGCAGCAGCUGAUGGGACAUGGCUGUGCCCCACGUCACUCUACAAUGCUCCUCACACUGUGCUGCUAUUGAUGCUGACCAGAGCAUGCACAGACUGUGAUGCUCAGCACCAGGAGAACGCUUCCAUCUACAUCACAGGAUGCUGGGGCAAAUCUUAUGGUGUCUUGCAUCUAAAUUUGAAAAAUCUCCAGCAGUUUUAUGACAAAAUUGCUUCUUUGAAUGGUUUCACUAACGCUGCAGAAAAGCAACAAAAUGUUUGGGACAUCCAAAAGAUCAGCCUUUUCCUACAGAUUCGAAGAUCUGAAACUACUGGGGUCUGUUUUUCAUGAUUUACCUCACGCUAUGGCUUGCUGUUUGAAUCCAAAAGCAGAGCAGCUGAGUUGCGUUGCUGUCAUCGGAUUAGUGCUCUUCCUUGUCCUGAACACAUAAGCACAAAAUAUGUUAUUUCUGCUGUGGAUUUUCACUGAAUAUUUCAGUACACUGUUGUUGAAGCUGGGAUCAUCUAAGGACAAAAGAGAGGCUCGGUGUGUACGAAAGGACCAUGUCCUUUAGUGGGUUGGCUAAUACAGCUGGAAGAGGCAGAGAGGAGUUUUUGGCUUGGAAUCCCUUUAUCAGGUUCCAGCAAAGGGAUGAAGGAUGCUUUACCCAGCAAGUCUGGUUCAUGGUUCCAACUCUGUCUUCCAGCCUAGAAAGCAGCUGACCUCCAGCUGACAUGCUUGGCCUUGGUCAUUUCAGCAGAUGAUUUCUCAUAGGCUUUUCAUUAACCACAGUGCUGUUCAAAGUUACCUCCAUGGAUGCCCAUGUAAACAUGAAAAGAGAGUACACACCCAAGGACAGGAUUUUUUUAAAUUCUCAAGGAGUAGGCUUGGCACAUUUUUUCUUCAGACUUCACCGACUUCUGAUCAGUACAGAGUUAAUGUAAAUGAGCUCACUGGAGACAGGAGCAUGAAGGUCUGGCUUUUUUUUACCUUUAACUAAGGUGCCUUCUCUAUGGUUCAUAUAUAUUUCUGAUGUCGAACGGCAUAUGUUUUCAUCAGUAAGUUAUUUUGUGUCAUAAAAGAUUUAACUGGAAAUUCACCAAACACAGGAGUAAUGCAAACUGCUCCUUACUGACACCAGCCAAUUCGUAGAAGAUGUGUGUGUGGUCCCCAUUUUUUGCACUGUUUUUGUCCUCUUAAGAUGCUGGUUGAGACUGAAUAACGUUUAGAAAACCAGUU
RNAcentral lists this long non-coding RNA (1287 nucleotides) under Numida meleagris (helmeted guineafowl). RNAcentral's name for it is "lncRNA (ENSNMEG00000020382.1)". The record is from RNAcentral. Lineage: Eukaryota; Metazoa; Chordata; Aves; Galliformes; Numididae.